GAAUUUAUUACUGUUAUCUCCAUUUGAGUUCUAGCUGCUCUUUUUAUGUGAUGGAGGUGAAUCUUCUGCCUAUCAUGAAGCAGAAUCUGAAACUUUCUGAGGAGAGCAUUUGAGCUUCAGAUUUCUAACAGUCUGUGUGCCCAGCUGAGUUUGUUGAAAGCCUUGGUCCCUGAAGUCCUAAACUACAUGCAAGAAAGCUAUAGAGGAAGGAGUUGGGGAUCAGAGGCCGCACACGUUAAGACUGCAAGCUAUCCAAGAUAAAUUGAGUUCUCAUCUGGUCAAUAUUCAUGUCAGCCUUAGGAUCAGUUAUUCCUUCAUUCCAAGAGUGCUUAUUAUCAGCUACCAUAUUAACCCACCAGUGAUAAGACUUGAGGAUAUAAGAGGUCCAGAUAAAAAUGGAUAGGGAUAUGAG
Molecule: long non-coding RNA, 412 nt
Filed under: Pongo abelii (Sumatran orangutan)
Lineage: Eukaryota; Metazoa; Chordata; Mammalia; Primates; Hominidae
Description: lncRNA (ENSPPYG00000038434.1)
Source: RNAcentral